RNAcentral lists this long non-coding RNA (1891 nucleotides) under Triticum aestivum (bread wheat). RNAcentral's name for it is "long non-coding RNA (TAES_LNC013326)". Lineage: Eukaryota; Viridiplantae; Streptophyta; Magnoliopsida; Poales; Poaceae. The record is from RNAcentral.
UCCAUUCGUUCCCCAUCCACGAAAUCCCUAGAUCUCUCCUGCUGUUCCCCACGCACGCCGGCGCCCCACACCCGACCGCCUCCUGCGGCUACCGCCGUCCGGCGGUCUAUCCCACCGCUGCCCCACGCGCCCUUCCUCUAUAGCAUCGCCCCACGCCGCCCUGUCCCUGCAGCGCAACCUAACUCCGUCCUGCCUCUCUCCGCCGCCGGCUCCACACCCUCGUGCUCUCUCUCUGGUUGGUCGCCUCUCUCCAACAUCCCUGGCCUGACCUCCCCAUCUCCACCAUCUAGCUCACAAAGACCCACGCUGCGGCAGAUUUGGAUCGUGGCAGCGUGCGCUUGGUCAAGGGCAUCCCUCUCUAUCUUUGGCUUGGCAGGGGCACUAAAGCGGCUGAGGUACAGCUCCUCCCUCCAUACAUUCCUCUGUCUUUGCGUCAAGUUAUUUUGCCGCAUCAAUUUUGUAUUACAAAGUUUGUUAAGAGAUGAACUGGGAGUGAAGGAGUUCGCCGUGGAUUAUGGGUAGAAGACUGUUAUUUGCCCCGUUAGUAUUCUGUCGGUGUUGCUUAUGUAGAUUUAAUAUAUUUUUUAUAGUACUGAGUUAUGUUAGAUGGAAAUCGAUUUAUGUUAGAUUUAUUUUUUAUUACAGUACUGAGUUCUAUUGGCAGCCUGCAGCUUCUUUGUCAAAAAUUGUGAAAAUAACUUGGUUCUCCCGAAAGCUAAGCUUCUGUGCAGUACAAAUGGAUGUGUUUCUAGUGUUUGUGCCGCUCCAGCUAAUCACAUUUCUGGGCUGAGUUCACGACAAUGGCGUGUCAGCAUACUUCCAUCCAACUGCCCAAAUACUCAAUUAACUUUCUCUUACUGAAAUCUUCUUCAUACUUAACUUUCUUACUGAAUUCUUCUUCAUGCCACCCACGAUAAACAACACAACAAUAGUUCUUCCUUGCUUGUAAGAUGGCUCAAGCCAAACAUAGACAGCCUUGCGACAUGGCUGUCUUGCUUUCCUUGUUUCAUUUCAUUUUAGUGUACACCACUUUGCUGGAGAACCACAUCCAACCGGAGGAAAGAACCGUGGAAUCACAAUGCAGAACUCCCGCUGCAUUGUUCUCGCUUCCUGCCUCUCAAAGAAAAGGACCUGGCCCACAAUGGCCUGAAUCAAGCUCAUCUUGAAUCAUUGUAGCAUAUAGACAUAUAGACAGGUUUAUUGUUGUCAUGUUUCCCUACAAGCAACUACAACCAAAAUUAACCUAGAAACUAACACUGUGUAGACUAAUUAUGAUGCAUACAAAAGAUACUGUGGAGCAGUAUAUGAUUUUCUUGAUGUAGUGCCACAUAAGUCUUGUGUUUGAUCCACUAAUAUUUUCUAUUUUCAGCGAUGCACUCAUAUAGUGUGUCUUUUGCAGGAGGGACAAUGGCAAGCGCAAGCGGAAAAGCUAAAGAUGAUGGGGCCACGGAGGAACAACUGAAAGUGGUAGAGUAUAAACUACAGAGAAGUAGGACCAUAGAAGAAAAUGAAGUAAGUCAUCCUGCUGAAUCAAAACUGUAGUAUAUCCAUCCACAUACUAAAACUGUAGUAUAUCCCUGCAGCAGACUUUGUUCUGGACAUAAACAAACACAUAUGCAUGUAAUCAUUCUCAAAACACAAACAAUAUGCUCCCUCCGUCCCAACAUAAAUGUCUCAACCAUAGUACAACUUUGUACUAGAGAUAGUACAAAGUUGAGACACUUAUUUUGGGACGGAGGGAGUAUAUUAUAACAAAACUGUAGGCAGUGUUGUUGUAAACAUGUCUACUCAUCAUAAAUCUCCUUACCUUUUUUCUUAUAGUCUCGCAGUGCUAUCACCAAAAAGAACCGCGCCAAUGAAGUGCCUCAUACAUCCGGGAGCAAGAGUCACA